AAUGGCAGGUCAGCAUACUGCCGUGAAUACGUUCCCGGGCCUUGUACACACCGCCCGUCACACCAUGAGAGUUGGGAAUACCCGAAGCCUGUGAGCUAACAUUUAUGAGGCAGCAGUCGAAGGUAGAAUCAAUGAUUGGGGUGAAGUCGUAACAAGGUAAC
This 161-nucleotide ribosomal RNA is filed under the name uncultured bacterium. RNAcentral's name for it is "partial 16S ribosomal RNA". It matches the Rfam family "Bacterial small subunit ribosomal RNA", at positions 1340 to 1500 of the family's 1533-position model. The record is from RNAcentral.